Molecule: ribosomal RNA, 425 nt
Filed under: uncultured bacterium
Lineage: Bacteria
Description: partial 16S ribosomal RNA
Rfam family: Bacterial small subunit ribosomal RNA
Source: RNAcentral
GUGGGGAAUCUUAGACAAUGGGCGCAAGCCUGAUCUAGCCAUGCCGCGUGAGUGAUGAAGGCCCUAGGGUUGUAAAGCUCUUUCAGCUGGGAAGAUAAUGACGGUACCAGCAGAAGAAGCCCCGGCUAACUCCGUGCCAGCAGCCGCGGUAAUACGGAGGGGGCUAGCGUUGUUCGGAAUUACUGGGCGUAAAGCGCGCGUAGGCGGACUGAAAAGUUGGGGGUGAAAUCCCGGGGCUCAACCUCGGAACUGCCUUCAAAACUAUCAGUCUGGAGUUCGAGAGAGGUGAGUGGAAUUCCGAGUGUAGAGGUGAAAUUCGUAGAUAUUCGGAGGAAAACCAGUGGCGAAGGCGGCUCACUGGCUCGAUACUGACGCUGAGGUGCGAAAGCGUGGGGAGCAAACAGGAUUAGAAACCCGAGUAGUCC